RNAcentral lists this ribosomal RNA (214 nucleotides) under uncultured bacterium. RNAcentral's name for it is "partial 16S ribosomal RNA". It matches the Rfam family "Bacterial small subunit ribosomal RNA", at positions 1287 to 1500 of the family's 1533-position model. The record is from RNAcentral.
CCCAGUUCAGAUUGCAGUCUGCAACUCGACUGCAUGAAGUCGGAAUCGCUAGUAAUCGCGGAUCAGCAUGCCGCGGUGAAUACGUUCCCGGGCCUUGUACACACCGCCCGUCACACCAUGAGAGUCGGGAACACCCGAAGUCCGUAGCCUAACCGCAAGGGGGGCGCGGCCGAAGGUGGGUUCGAUAAUUGGGGUGAAGUCGUAACAAGGUACC